Molecule: ribosomal RNA, 1362 nt
Filed under: Campylobacter coli
Lineage: Bacteria; Pseudomonadati; Campylobacterota; Epsilonproteobacteria; Campylobacterales; Campylobacteraceae
Description: partial 23S ribosomal RNA
Rfam family: Bacterial large subunit ribosomal RNA
Source: RNAcentral
UUUGAAGUCUUCGGAUGGAUAGAAGAACCCCUGAUGCCGUCGAGCCAAGAAAAGUUUCUAAGUUUAGCUAAUGUUGCCCGUACCGUAAACCGACACAGGUGGGUGGGAUGAGUAUUCUAAGGCGCGUGGAAGAACUCUCUUUAAGGAACUCUGCAAAAUAGCACCGUAUCUUCGGUAUAAGGUGUGGUUCGCUUCGUAUUAGGAUUUACUCCGAAAGCGAAGAAACUUACAACAAAGAGUCCCUCCCGACUGUUUACCAAAAACACAGCACUCUGCUAACUCGUAAGAGGAUGUAUAGGGUGUGACGCCUGCCCGGUGCUCGAAGGUUAAUUGAUGGGGUUAGCAUUAGCGAAGCUCUUGAUCGAAGCCCGAGUAAACGGCGGCCGUAACUAUAACGGUCCUAAGGUAGCGAAAUUCCUUGUCGGUUAAAUACCGACCUGCAUGAAUGGCGUAACGAGAUGGGAGCUGUCUCAAAGAGGGAUCCAGUGAAAUUGUAGUGGAGGUGAAAAUUCCUCCUACCCGCGGCAAGACGGAAAGACCCCGUGGACCUUUACUACAGCUUGACACUGCUAUUUGGAUAAGAAUGUGCAGGAUAGGUGGGAGGCUUUGAGUAUAUGACGCCAGUUGUAUAUGAGCCAUUGUUGAGAUACCACUCUUUCUUAUUUGGGUAGCUAACCAGCUUGAGUUAUCCUCAAGUGGGACAAUGUCUGGUGGGUAGUUUGACUGGGGCGGUCGCCUCCCAAAUAAUAACGGAGGCUUACAAAGGUUGGCUCAGAACGGUUGGAAAUCGUUCGUAGAGUAUAAAGGUAUAAGCCAGCUUAACUGCAAGACAUACAAGUCAAGCAGAGACGAAAGUCGGUCUUAGUGAUCCGGUGGUUCUGUGUGGAAGGGCCAUCGCUCAAAGGAUAAAAGGUACCCCGGGGAUAACAGGCUGAUCUCCCCCAAGAGCUCACAUCGACGGGGAGGUUUGGCACCUCGAUGUCGGCUCAUCGCAUCCUGGGGCUGGAGCAGGUCCCAAGGGUAUGGCUGUUCGCCAUUUAAAGCGGUACGCGAGCUGGGUUCAGAACGUCGUGAGACAGUUCGGUCCCUAUCUGCCGUGGGCGUAAGAAGAUUGAAGAGAUUUGACCCUAGUACGAGAGGACCGGGUUGAACAAACCACUGGUGUAGCUGUUGUUCUGCCAAGAGCAUCGCAGCGUAGCUAAGUUUGGAAAGGAUAAACGCUGAAAGCAUCUAAGCGUGAAGCCAACUCUAAGAUGAAUCUUCUCUAAGCUCUCUAGAAGACUACUAGUUUGAUAGGCUGGGUGUGUAAUGGAUGAAAGUCCUUUAGCUGACCAGUACUAAUAGAGCGUUUGGCUUAUCUUU